This 23-nucleotide non-coding RNA is filed under the name Cricetulus griseus (Chinese hamster). Lineage: Eukaryota; Metazoa; Chordata; Mammalia; Rodentia; Cricetidae. The record is from RNAcentral.
UGAUUAGCAUUCUAGGGACAAAC